Molecule: ribosomal RNA, 119 nt
Filed under: Pteropus alecto (black flying fox)
Lineage: Eukaryota; Metazoa; Chordata; Mammalia; Chiroptera; Pteropodidae
Source: RNAcentral
GUCUACAGCCGUGCCACCCUGAACGUGCCGGAUCUCGUCUGAUCUCGGAAGCUAAGCAGGGUCGGGCCUGGUUAGUACUUGGAUAGGAGACCACCUAGGAAUACCAGGUGCUGUAGGCG